Kwoniella sp. DSM 27419 is the source of this 100-nucleotide non-coding RNA. Lineage: Eukaryota; Fungi; Basidiomycota; Tremellomycetes; Tremellales; Cryptococcaceae. The record is from the annotation of a GenBank genome assembly.
GGGCGUAUAUAUCAGUGGUAGAUAGCUCGUUUUGCAUUGUCGUGCCUAUCGGCGCAGCGGUCUCUACGAGAAGUCCAGGGUUCAAUCCCCUGUGUGUCCA